Molecule: long non-coding RNA, 490 nt
Organism: Cephus cinctus (wheat stem sawfly)
Lineage: Eukaryota; Metazoa; Arthropoda; Insecta; Hymenoptera; Cephidae
Exons: 2
Source: RefSeq, a predicted model, not a curated record
AAUGACAUUUCGUCAACAACAAAGGUGCUGUUAGAUAAUGAAAAAACUUUCCAAUGGAAUUUUUCUCAACGUUCACCACGGAGAAGUACUGAAUUGGGUCAGCUGUAUCAUUGGUCGUCCAUGGAAAAUAAUAGAGCUUGUUCUGUACAAUAAUAGAGAGCGUGUUAGUUCAGUAGAAACUAUAGUUCAAACGAUGACUAAUCAUCAAAUAAAUGACUGCUGCUAUGAUUACUGACGCAACGUCCCGAUGUUCACCAUGGCAGUGGACAGAUAAAGUGGAGCCAGACAGACGUGACCUACAAAAACAUUCGAGUGAAAGUGCGCGAAUGGCACAGCUGGGAUAGACAAUGUGACAGAGACGACAAAUGAAGUUGCCAAUAUACAAAUAAGUUAACAGACUGAAAAAACAAAUAGUCGUAAACACCUAUACGUUUGAGUAAGCAAGACGUAUGGAAAUUAAAAAGAAUCCGACAUAAAAUCUUCCAACUUA